This 84-nucleotide transfer RNA is filed under the name Echinostoma caproni. It matches the Rfam family "tRNA". From Rfam's summary of the family: Transfer RNA (tRNA) molecules are approximately 80 nucleotides in length. Their secondary structure includes four short double-helical elements and three loops (D, anti-codon, and T loops). Further hydrogen bonds mediate the characteristic L-shaped molecular structure. tRNAs have two regions of fundamental functional importance: the anti-codon, which is responsible for specific mRNA codon recognition, and the 3' end, to which the tRNAs corresponding amino acid is attached (by aminoacyl-tRNA synthetases). tRNAs cope with the degeneracy of the genetic code in two manners: having more than one tRNA (with a specific anti-codon) for a particular amino acid; and 'wobble' base-pairing, i.e. permitting non-standard base-pairing at the 3rd anti-codon position. The record is from Rfam by way of RNAcentral. Lineage: Eukaryota; Metazoa; Platyhelminthes; Trematoda; Plagiorchiida; Echinostomatidae.
GGCCUCGUAGCUCAACUGGUAGAGCGUGCGCUUUAUGCAAGCGUAGGCGGCGUCCAUGCGUGAGUUCGAAUCCCAUCAAGGCUA